Molecule: ribosomal RNA, 460 nt
Filed under: uncultured bacterium
Lineage: Bacteria
Description: partial 16S ribosomal RNA
Rfam family: Bacterial small subunit ribosomal RNA
Source: RNAcentral
CCUACGGGUGGCAGCAGUGAGGAAUAUUGGUCAAUGGCCGGAAGGCUGAACCAGCCAUGCCGCGUGAAGGUCAGUGCCCUAUGGGCGUUAAACUUCUUUUGUGCGGGAGCAAUAAUGGUCACGUGUGGCCAGACGAGAGUACCGUACGAAUAAGCAUCGGCUAACUCCGUGCCAGCAGCCGCGGUAAUACGGGGGAUGCAAGCGUUAUCCGGAUUGAUUGGGUUUAAAGGGUGCGUAGGCUGGGAGGUAAGUCAGCGGGGAAAUGGCUCCGCUCAACGGGGUGAAGUGCCAUGGAUACUGGAUUGCUGGAAUGCGGAUGCCGUGGGAGGAAUGUGUGGUGUAGCGGUGAAAUGCAUAGAUAUCACACGGAACACCGAUUGCGAAGGCAUCUCACGAAUCCGCGAUUGACGCUGAGGCACGAAAGCGUGGGUAGCAAACAGGAUUAGAUACCCUUGUAGUC